RNAcentral lists this ribosomal RNA (387 nucleotides) under Choanoflagellata sp. RNAcentral's name for it is "partial small subunit ribosomal RNA". It matches the Rfam family "Eukaryotic small subunit ribosomal RNA", at positions 582 to 975 of the family's 1831-position model. Lineage: Eukaryota; Choanoflagellata. The record is from RNAcentral.
AUUCCAGCUCCAAUAGCGUAUAUUAUAGUUGUUGCAGUUAAAAAGCUCGUAGUUGGACUUCUGAUGUGGGGAUUCGGUCCACCGCAAGGUGAGCACUGAUGUCCUUGCGUCUUCCUCUCGUAGUUGUUUGGCGCACUUAGUUGGGUGCCAGAUGAAUAUGGGACCUUUACUUUGAAAAAAUUAGAGUGUUCAAAGCAGGCGAUCGCUUGAAUACAUUAGCAUGGAAUAAUAGAAUAGGACUUUGGUUCUAUUUUGUUGGUUUCUAGGACCGAAGUAAUGAUUAAUAGGGACAGUUGGGGGCAUUAGUAUUUAAUUGUCAGAGGUGAAAUUCUUGGAUUUAUGAAAGACUAACUACUGCGAAAGCAUUUGCCAAGGAUGUUUUCAUUA